This 497-nucleotide ribosomal RNA is filed under the name uncultured bacterium. RNAcentral's name for it is "partial 16S ribosomal RNA". It matches the Rfam family "Bacterial small subunit ribosomal RNA", at positions 28 to 507 of the family's 1533-position model. The record is from RNAcentral.
GACGAACGCUGGCGGCGUGCCUAAUACAUGCAAGUUGAGCGCUGAAGGUUGGUACUUGUACCAACUGGAUGAGCAGCGAACGGGUGAGUAACGCGUGGGGAAUCUGCCUUUGAGCGGGGGACAACAUUUGGAAACGAAUGCUAAUACCGCAUAAAAUCUUUAAACACAAGUUUUAAGUUUGAAAGAUGCAAUUGCAUCACUCAAAGAUGAUCCCGCGUUUUAUUAGCUAGUUGGUGAGGUAAAGGCUCUCCAAGGCGAUGAUACAUAGCCGACCUGAGAGGGUGAUCGGCCACAUUGGGACUGAGACACGGCCCAAACUCCUACGGGAGGCAGCAGUAGGGAAUCUUCGGCAAUGGACGAAAGUCUGACCGAGCAACGCCGCGUGAGUGAAGAAGGUUUUCGGAUCGUAAAACUCUGUUGGUAGAGAAGAACGUUGGUGAGAGUGGAAAGCUCAUCAAGUGACGGUAACUACCCAGAAAGGGACGGCUAACUACGUG